GCCGGGGUAGCUCAGCUGGGAGAGCAACAGACUGAAGCCUGGGCGGAGAGGAUAUCCGAUUACGGAGCAUUCUGGAGGUCCCGUGUUCAAUCCACGGUCCUGGCA
Molecule: non-coding RNA, 105 nt
Organism: Russula vinacea
Lineage: Eukaryota; Fungi; Basidiomycota; Agaricomycetes; Russulales; Russulaceae
Source: the annotation of a GenBank genome assembly